UGAGUAACACGUGAGUGACCUGCCUUUUAGACUGGAACAACUUACCGAAAGGUGAGCUAAUGCCGGAUGAGUUAUAUAAGUGCAUGUUUAUAUAGGAAAAGUUGGGGAGACCUGACGCUGAAAGAUGGACUCGUGUCCCAUUAGCUAGUUGGUAGGGUAAUGGCCUACCAAGGCGACGACGGGUAGCCGGCCUGAGAGGGUGGCCGGCCACACUGGGACUGAGACACGGCCCAGACUCCUACGGAAGGCAGCAG
RNAcentral lists this ribosomal RNA (254 nucleotides) under uncultured bacterium. RNAcentral describes it as "partial 16S ribosomal RNA". It matches the Rfam family "Bacterial small subunit ribosomal RNA", at positions 107 to 354 of the family's 1533-position model. The record is from RNAcentral.